RNAcentral lists this long non-coding RNA (678 nucleotides) under Brassica napus (rape). Its description in RNAcentral is "long non-coding RNA (BNAP_LNC011295)". Lineage: Eukaryota; Viridiplantae; Streptophyta; Magnoliopsida; Brassicales; Brassicaceae. The record is from RNAcentral.
CGUGCUAACUAUUAUCUUAGUUAAUGCAGAAUCCAAUAGUGAUUUUUUUUUUAAAAGCCCACUUCCUUAAUCAUCUUUUGUUUGGGUCCGAAGAAGCCUAGUUCUGAUAUGUUGGUAAGAGAAGGGUUGAUACCCUAGGUCAUGCUUCUUCUUUUUCGUUCAUGUCAAUUCAGAUAAAACAAAAAAAAUUAUUUUCAUAAGGCGGCAUAGGUGUAGCGGGCCAUCGGUGUUGUUUGUAGUCUCCGACUUUACGAAUCAUAUUGGUGGAGUCAGAUAUGAGACAUGUAACCCAAGCCUUCUGCAGUGUCUCUUCUGUAGAUCCACGACGGUUCGGGUUUCUUCGAACUUGUAGCGUGGUGGUGGAGGUUAAUCGGUGAUGAGACGCGACAUAGGUGGUGGGACCUGCUUCAGAUAUGAACCGUCUGGCCUCCCAAUACCUGAACAGCCAAACCUCGACGGUGGUGGUAUAAAGGCCGGCUUUCAAUUCAGCAAGGAAAGCGGAGUUACCUUUUUUAUUUCUACAGUUUUUAAAUGGUAAGAAUUAAGAGAAAUAAGCCGAUUAAUUUCAACGAAUGAAACUCACUUAUUUAUAGUUGGAGAUUCACCCUAAAGAAUCAAGGGGUGAUGUUAAUGAGAACCGUAAUUACGACGAUUCCACUUUUGUAACGUUCAGUGAUU